CCCUUAGAUGUUCUGGGCCGCACGCGGGCUACACUGAUGCAUUCAACGAGCCUAUCCUUGACCGACAGGUCCGGGUAAUCUUUGAAUCUGCAUCGUGACGGGGAUAGAUUAUUGCAAUUAUUAAUCUUCAACGAGGAAUGCCUAGUAGGCGCAAGUCAUCAGCUUGCGUCGAUUACGUCCCUGCCCUUUGUACACACCGCCCGUCGCUCCUACCGAUUGGGUGUGCUGGUGAAAUCUUCGGAUUGAGACUUUGAUUUGUUUACUCAAAACGCUGUUUCAAGAAGUUGAUUAAACCUUACCAUUUAGAGGAAGGUGAAGUCGUAACA
Molecule: ribosomal RNA, 326 nt
Filed under: uncultured eukaryote
Lineage: Eukaryota
Description: partial 18S ribosomal RNA
Rfam family: Eukaryotic small subunit ribosomal RNA
Source: RNAcentral